CGCUACUAAACACGGAUAUCGGCCAAUGCGAUAUAUUAAAAAAUGACAAAUAUCGGCCCGAUAUAUCGGCCGACCGAUAUAUCGGUCGACCUCUAAUUCUAAACACACUGUAUUUGGUUGUUGUAGAUGUUCCUUUAUCAGAGAGCACUUUUAAAGUUUUACAACCACCUUAUCAACUGCUGAAAAAUGGAAGUCAGAGGACACAUGACCAACUUGCUACAACACAACACAAAAGGUCUGAACUAUGAAGUGCAACAAUACUUGUUUGGUCAUCUACAUUCAGAUGAAAACACAACACUCCUCUCUAAUUCAAGAUGUUAAGCCUACUCAUCGCAAGGAGAGUUAGCAUCAAAAUGGAUGUGUCACUGACCAAUAACACAGAGAUGCCAGAAGUAUCUGUUUGCUAUCUACUUUUAAUUCAGUACUAUGGGGCAUCCAAAAGCCAUCACUCAGUUAAUUUCAGUCAGCACUUUUUAGCCCUUCCCAGUGCUGAAAUUGUCAUAGACCCUUUGUUUUUAUUGUUUAAAUGCUUAUCUAAAUGUAAAAUUAACAUUUAAUGGUCAUACAUUUAA
Long non-coding RNA from Cyprinus carpio (common carp), 572 nucleotides. RefSeq lists it as uncharacterized. Lineage: Eukaryota; Metazoa; Chordata; Actinopteri; Cypriniformes; Cyprinidae. The transcript has 3 exons. The record is from RefSeq and is a predicted model, not a curated record.